Long non-coding RNA from Saccostrea cuccullata (small rock oyster), 183 nucleotides. RefSeq lists it as uncharacterized. The transcript has 3 exons. NCBI's taxonomy places the organism in Eukaryota, Metazoa, Mollusca, Bivalvia, Ostreida, Ostreidae. The record is from RefSeq and is a predicted model, not a curated record.
AAAAUUGUUCAUGUUCCUAUGAUCCGAGCUUCACCUGACAGUGAUAUUCCUGGGAGGCCGAUCCCGUGCCGACAGGCUGGAGAAGAUUUUUGUGUUGUGGCAAAGCACAGAAAAAACAGAAGAAAAAAAAGAAGGAGAAAACUGGAUUUCUGAGCAGAUUACGCCGCUUGUUUAAACGUUGAC